This is an RNA transcript of Galleria mellonella (greater wax moth), 9828 nucleotides long. RefSeq lists it as uncharacterized. The record is from RefSeq and is a predicted model, not a curated record. NCBI's taxonomy places the organism in Eukaryota, Metazoa, Arthropoda, Insecta, Lepidoptera, Pyralidae. The transcript has 3 exons.
UGGCAACAAUUAGCAUAUCCGCCAUUUUUAAAACACCGCCAUUUUAAUUCUUCUCUUCCUUUGGUGACGCUGCCUUGCAGAAAGAAAAUUAAAUUGAAUAGAUUUUAAAAUGUACUAACAUUUGUAUGUGAUAUACUGGUGAACUAUUUGUGUCUAGAAAUAUCAAUAUUUGCCUAUUUGAAACUGCAAAAGUUUGUGUAUUUGUAGGUAACGGUGCAACAAUGAGCGUCAUCAUUAGGCUACAAAACCUGCCCUGGUCCGCGAACGCCCUGGACAUUCGAAAUUUCUUUCGAGGACUUUCAAUACCGGAAGGCGGUGUUCACAUCGUAGGCGGAGAACUUGGAGACGCGUUCAUUGCGUUCAGGUAGAUAUGUACUUCACAAAUAUUGAAUCGAAGGCUGUGAAUUUUCAUUGGACUAUUUCAUUGAAAAUAUCUCAGUACUACAACCACUUGUUAAUUUUAAGUAACUUUAAGGAUGUAUUUAUUACAUAAUUUAUUUUUAUUUUAAUAAAUAAAAUAAUACAUUUUACCCUAUAUAUAUCUGUCACGCCUGUCUCCCAUUAAGGUAGGCAGAAACAGAAACAACCCUAUACUAUACUCUUAUUUCCAUUUGAAGAGUACAAAAGUAAUUACACUUUAUAAAAAAAAAUAAAAUAAAAAAAACUAUCAAUGGAAUAGAUAUAAUCUUAUUUUAAAUAAAAACUCUUUUAUAUCGUUUAUAAAAAAUUACGUGACUUGUGAGACAUCAAAUAACACUGCCAUAAAAAAAUAUAUUUUGUUUUAAAUGAUUUUGUUUUACAAAAUUAUGCUAGCCAAUUCUUUUUUGUAAAACAAAAUAGUAUAUGUUAUUAAUACUAUUUUAUGAGAAAUAUUUUUUUUAUUUACAAAAUGAGUAUCUGAAUAAGAUACAAGUAUGUAAGACGACACUAAAAUUUAUAGAUAGAUAAUAAAAAAUCAACUUAUAUAAUUUACGUUCUUAAUUUAAAUUUUUAAAUGUUUUAAUGCAAAUUAGUGGACAUGCAAAAGAAUAAAAGUAAUACACAGUCAGCUAAUUCAUUCAUUGCCAUUCUAAGUUGUAUAAAAAAAAAGCUAAAAUAAUUUACACACUUAAUAUUAUUUAAUAGUCAACACAAAUUAGUGGAUACUCACAAAAAGAUAAGUAGUAAUACAGAUUUAACUAACAUGGUAUGCUAAAUAUAAAUUAGUACAAAUUGGUGAAUAGACAGAACAAAAUAUAGAUUCGACUAGUAUAAUUUACCUACGUAAUAUAAAAUUUUGUGUGAUUCGUUUACGAUUAUGUGUAUGACUCUACUGGGAACGGCUUAUCCGGAGACAGAGGACUAUAAAUACUCGUGUCUUAAACCGCGGCAUAUCGUAAGUCUAAUGCGUAGGAUUUAUAAAAAUAGAAUAAGGCAGAGAGAAACAGUAAAUACCGAUGGAUCGACGUGCAACAGAUGUUUAAUAGAUGAUAAAAGAACAGUAACCCCGCCUAUGCAAAUGGUAUACUCUGGCAGGGCACCAGUAAGAGAUGAUAGGUGAGAACGAAAAGAGGUCAGUUAGCCCAUCGCCAUGAAUACACUUGGAAUUCAACACGGUUUCCAGGUGAUACAACGGGGAGGUCGACCUGAUAGGGGUAUAUUUUUGGUAAUGGGAAUGGCAUUUCGCAUUACUAACAAUCCCUUCGCCCCGUGCAACAGUUUGUAAGCUGACCUCAAAGGCGAAUUAAAAUAUUAUUACCUAUAUAGUAUAGAUAUCUCGAGAUUCACGAUUCAUUUGGAGAGAAAUGGCUCGUGAGAUUUUAUAUCAUUCAAAUGGAGAUCUUCACUGGGUUAGUAUGCGAACACACACAUUUUUUCAAAUACCAGCUAUUGCUUUAAUCGAGUAUGGGGUUACAUGUGCAGAUCAUCAUGAUGCAUUUGGUAAGUAAAUUAGGUGUUUUUUCUAAAAGAAUUUAUUUUAGAUAUAUCUACCAGUACUUUAUACUUUUAUAUGUAUCUGUAAUUUUAUAUCAUAAAAUGUAUUUGAUAUUGGAUGUCAGACCCUAAAUAUAUUUUGUUCAAGUAUGUUAAUAUUAUUUUUGUAAAAGCUUCCAAUUCUGGUUAUAAUUUUAAUCCAAAAUUUGCUGUGAUAAUUUAGAUUAAUUUAGCUCAGGCUUCAUUAUAAUUUUGUCAGGGUAUUAUCUAGUUUACCAUCUCAUUAAAUAUCUUUUCUAAUGCAAAAACUUAAGUAAGGACAUUGUCUAGGUUAUAAAAUUCAACAAAUUUUUUUUACUAGUAUCUUGUUAAAUCAUAUAAUCUGCCCAUUUACCUAUCUAAAUAUAUUUAAAAACUUCUGUUGGUCUAACUUACGUUCUUAAUAUAAGUGUGUUUAUACACUCAAUGUAAGACUAAAAGAUUCUAUAAUUUUAAUUUACUAUUACUAUGCGUUUUUACCAAUUCGAACAAAAUUUGAAAAUAUGGUACAAUAUAAUCUCGAUUAUUCGAAUCAAAUAAAACCAGAGGUACUCCGGAUAAUUGAAAUCCGGAUAAGCUAUUUCAAAGCCAAAUCAAACAAUAAAUAAAUUUAAUCAUUUUUUUAUUAUGUAAAGGGUUUUACAUAUAUCAUUUAAACAAUACGAUAUAAAAAAAAAUACGAGCUAUGAAGAUAAUGAAUUACUUAAUACUUAUUUAUCGAAUUGAUACAUAAUAUUUCUAAAUUGGUAAUAAGAGGUGUGAAGAAUAAGUCCGAAUAAUCGAAUAUACUAUAUGUUGUAGUUUUUUUAUCGUAUUUUUAAAUUACAAUUUAUAUUAAAGAUAAUUAGAUUUAAGAAAAAAAAUUAUUCAUGCACAAUGCGAAAAAAAAUUUCCAAUGGUAAAAAUUAGAUAUCAAUAAAUAAAUAACUGAAUGUUGUUGACCAUUAAACGUUAUAAGUAUCUCUAAACAUAAAACAAAAUAAUAAGCCUAUUUUAGUUCACCACUGUAAGAAUAUUCUAAGAAUUAAUUUUAAAUUCACCGCACAUUUAAUAUUUGUAGACUAUACCUGACUGCAUCACGACAUGAUGUUUGGGAGAAACUAGCUAAUCUUAAUCUUUAGGACAAUAAAAAUUUACAUGGCGAUAUCCAGUUUGCAAUAUUACAACCGAAUUGCUUUCGCAAGCAAAUAGUACCUUACUCUUACUAUUACCUACCUUUGAAUAUAAAACAAUAUUUUUUGAUAUGUGAGACACCUAUAUUUAACGGAAAUGACCAAAUGACAAUUUAGAUUUAGUAUCUUCAAGGAAAAUGACAAAAUAUCCUGUAAAUAAGGAGGUCGCUAUCACAGAGAUCAGAACGAUGCUUGCUAGUGCAAUUUUUAAGUUUCGUAAGCCGAUGGAGACACACUGAAUGGUUACGACAAAUGAAAAGCAUACUGUUUAUCGGCAUAAUUUAAUUCGACGUUAUUCGUCGUCUGUUCUACAUAAUAAAGUCCUGAGACGUAUGUUAUUCAUCGAUGCCCUGCAACAUAUUUGAGAUCUCUUCUCCAUCUAGCCAGAUUAGAUCCCAACAUGAGAAUAUUUCAUUCCAAUCGAUUCGGUUCGUUUAUAUUGUUGCUCUUCUCGACUGAAAGAAACACUAUCAUGUAGAUUUGUUAUCUAAGCUUUUACCUCUAUAUUCAACUCUUGGAACUGAUUCGAGAACAUUCAAGUAUUAUCUAACGCAAUUUUUGAAGAUUUUUGAUAUGUGACAUUUUUCUGUUACUGCUCUCCCGCUCCCUAAAUGUUACAUAACACCCAAAUGGCCAUUUUGACCUAAAAAUUACGUAGAAAACGCGAGGGAUAGCCCAUAAAACAAACUAAAUGGGUUGCCAAUUUAAAAGAUUUCAAUUCCUUGGUUAUUUAUUUAAAUAAAGAAAAGUUUUGUAAUUAAAAAUUACGUUACAAAAUACUUGAAUGUUCACUUCGUCUUUCUACUGCAAAUAUUGAAUUGGAUUCAUCUGACUACCCCGACACUGGAGUGAAGACAUAUAUUUAAUUAUUUUUUUUUUUUUAUGUUUUCUCCAUGGCUGUUAUUUGAAUAGUAAAGGUGGGUAAUAUAACUUCUAAGGUAUGAAGCUAUUGACAGUAAUUUCACAAGAAAAAAUUGAUACCCUUAUUUAUAUGACUGUCCACAAAAGAGGUGAAAUGUUUUCAGGGUGUGUAUGUUUGUGAAUUUCUAUAUUCCACCAUAAUUUCUUUUUUUAUGUACAUUGGUGGUAUCGUUAGAAUCCUUACGUUAUCAUACGAGAUACUGGUUAUAAUUUCUUUUUGAUUUUUUUUGUCUAUACAAUGGAUAUGAUCCUUUGAUGAUAAGCCUACAACGAACCUCAACGUUUACAACAAUGAAGGCAUCAUUGCCAAUUCUCGAAAUAUGAAGAUCUUGUAUUGCUAUACUCUAAUUGUAUACAGACAAAUUUCUUUUGAAUCUAUUUUCUUGCUAUUAUUGAUAGUUUUAAUUAUUUAGCGGCUACAACUACGAACCAAAACAUCAUAGCUGUAAUCACGAAAUUUGACGAUAGUUGGCGGAUAACUUGUAUUUACUUUUAGUAUAUUCCAUAUUGUUAACAUUGGUGAAGUUACAUAAGGUAUAAUUUAUUACGUUUAUAUCGUAUUUCAUAGUAGGAAAUGGCGUUAUUUCGAUAACAAAACUAUUGUUCUCGCUUCGGAAUUAGAAUUAUAUUGUGCACUCGAGUAUUACAUGAAAUUAUUUUUUCCCAUGAACGCUCAGGCUGAGGGAUGAGAGUUGCCGAGGUUUCCCCUAGAGACUACAGUAUGGGGUUCUUCAAAAAGGAUUGUUCAAAGAAAAUUUUAGAGUCUGCAACGCGCACGUGACACCCCUAAUGUUGGAGGCGUCCAUAGGCUAUAGUGACCAUUUACCAUUAGACGGGCAGUAUGUUUGUUUGCCACCUAUCUGGUAUAAAAAAAAAUGAAAUCUAGAAAAUUAUCUACUUAUUUUUUAGUAUGUGAAAUUAAGAUCUCGAUAUCUUACAGCAACUAGAUAGCGUUCAAAGAGUUAUAUCGAUCUCUUAAGAACUUUUGAUGGUCAAUAAUUAAAUAUAAGGAACUUCGUAGGCAAAUCCACAUCUGCUUUGGAUUUGAAGAUUUUUGUCGUAAUGACUACAAAUGUGACUCCUAUGUAUAGAUAAAGAUAAAAAUUUACACUUUGCAACUCACUUCAUUCUAAAUUUCAUAUAUUCUAUAAGCUUUGGUUACGACAAGAGAAGUGAAAGGUAAGCGUAUUGUGAAAACUAAAGUGAGAAAGAACUAGAACAAGAACUAUCAACUACCCCAUAAUUGGAAACGCCGCCAUCUUAACGAAAAGUUGCUCGAAAAGAUCUUACUUAUUUACAGAAUAUCAAAUUUUAAUCACACUCGGAGCAGCUAGGCAACUCGAGUUUGUUUUUAUAAAAUGUAUUUCAUGGGCUAUGUAUUUGUUACCAUUGUAGUAACCGUCAUUGAAUGUCGUAUACGAAAUAAAAUUUACUGGUGAAAGCUAGAUUCGCUUUUAGGAGUAUGUACUAUUUAAGAAACUAGAUAUUUAAUUUUUCACACUUGUAAGUAGCAAUCCAAAGUUACGAGAAAUAUACACAUCAUUUUAUCUAUGGGGAUCGUUUUCAAAUUAUACAAUAUUUCAAACUAUCAACUGAAGAUCUUAAAGAUUCUGAAUCGAAAAUUAUUUAUUUAUAUCGUUUUUCUACGCUUUAGUAUGAAGUACUUACCAUACUAUAUAAUUAUUUAUUUUUAGGGUUCCAUAUUUCAAAAUGAAAAUACGGAAUCCUUACGGCUUCCUUUCUUUUUAUUCGCGUUUCUAUCUAUCCGUCUGUCAGAUUUAAUUUACUCCAAAACUUUUAGACCGAUUGAGAUGAAAUUUGGUCACAUAUGUAAGUUGGGGACUCAAAGAUGGAUGUGUAACGUAAAUAAAUAAAUUUUAAAUAUGGCGAUCACUUUUGUUAGGUAAAUUAGAACAUUAAAAAAAAGAUGCAAACUAUAUCGUGUCACAUAUGAAAUGAAUAAUUUCUUGUGACAGUCUUAAUUUUUGAAUCUUAAACAGUUUUGAAUUUAUAUAAGAGAAAAUGGGCUAAAAUUAACCAUGUGUUCUUGCUUUUAUUACAUUGUAAAAAUUUCCACUUAUUUGUAUUAUUUUUCAUAGAAUAAUAUGUAAUUUACUCUUAUCUAUUUAGGAAUUAUCUACUUUAUAAAUAUGAUAGAAGAAGGAUUGCUUUAAAAAUCCCUAGCAAUAAUUUAGAUCUUAGAUUAUCGCUAGAGAUCCUCAAAGCAUUCUAUAGACGGAAUCUCCUAAAUUCUAUGUGAUCCCAUCUAUAGAUGAUUACCCGUCUAUUUUAAAAGAAAUGCAUGCAAUAUCUAUUUGUACACUGACGCAUCACAAAUAUUUUGUAGGAGUAAGUAUGUACUAUAGGUUUAAAUAAGAUUGAGUCUGUGUAACUACUUGUGAUUAGCAACAAGUCAAAAGUGUAGAUCAUUAGGUUAAUUUUGUAUAAUAUUAGGUUCAUUUCUACCAAAACCGAUAAGCUUGUUAGGAGGGAUAUUCCUUAAGUAAGUAUGUAUGUACUUCAUAUUUACGUCGUUUUAGCUACUUGCUAAUUUGUCUAGAUAUCCAGAAAAGAGCAUAUUCCUUUUUAAAAGGCCGGCAACACACCUGCAAUGCCGCUGGUGUUGUGAGUGUUCAUGAGCGGCGGUAGUCACUUGCCAUCAGAUGAGCCGCGUACUAAUUUGUCCCUUGUGUAAUAAAACAAAAUUUUCCCAACAAGCAUCUGCAAUGUAUGAUGAAAAGAACUGAUCUAUAAUUGCACAUUUGAAGACUAAUAUCCACAGACUAGGCUAUCCCUGUACUUAAGCCAACGCUAUUUGGAUACCAGCUCACCACGAUAUGCUGUUUCUGUUUGCAUGCAAGUUGCAUGUUAUUUUCGAACAAGCAGCUUACGUGGACCUUAAUGACGAAAGUGAGUGGCGAUAUGGUACUUUGAUUGUAAUACAUACUCCAGUCAAGUGUACUAUAACCUAUAUCUAAAUAUCAAUGUAAGAUUUGAAGAUUCAGGUACAACACUAGACGAUCGCGAUCGACUCCUAGCAACGUUCCCUCAUUAUUUCUGUAAUCUAUCGUAUUUCAAGGGUGGAAAUUAGUCUCCGUUCAAUUAUCUAGUUUAAUUUAAAUUAAAUAUAAAAAAUUAUUGGAAUCAGAUAUAAGGUCACUAUAAAUCAAGAACCAACAUAAAUCCCAAGCUGGAACAGGAGAGGUAUUUGAUAGUUCCAUUUACGAACAGAUUAUCAUUCAGUAUAGAGUUCUGGUAGUUCUGGAACAUAGAUGGCGAUUGUGCUCUUUGUCCACUCCGACGAAUGUUGAGGGCACGGCACCAUCACUACCUCCUGCAUAAGAACUCAGACUGAUAGAACACAGUGUACAAGCGUUCGUACAAAGAAUUUGUGGUGCAAACUGCAAACAUGAAAUGUAGAUAUUUUUGGCUUCGGAAAAUGGAAACGGAUCCAGAUCCGUUUCGCUCCGCAACCAGUUACGCAACUCCUCUUACAUUAAAUCAUAAAGGCACUGAGAUUAAGGGUCUUUGGAUACUUCACAACACACAUUACAUGGCUGUGAUGAUCACGAUUGUAUCCGUGACCUGGAUUGCAGAAAUGUCAUAUCUAGGCUUGUGUUUGUUCCUUUUGUAACAGGUCGCUAGUUUUAAAAGUCAGUAUUGACACAUUUAAGUCUGAUAAAGCUAAAUAUUAAUGUUCAUCCCGGAUAACGUUCGAAGUAAGUCAUAUAAAAUUUAACCACUGCGAUUAUCUAAGUAUUCGGGCUAGUGCAACUCAUUAUUUGUCCGGCUGGCCAAUUGAACCGAGUAUGUGUGUUAUACCGACGCUGUAAUCAUGGUUUUAGUCAACAUGGUUGAUGAUCAUUGAUUUUAUACCUUCAUACUAGAUGACUACAGCAAGCAGACCACGGUACCAGUGCUGUGCAGUAGCGCACAUUUAUAAAGUUUAAGCAUCAUUAAUAUGCGCUUUCGAAAUAAUCUACGUGACAAAUUCUAUCGACUUAUCAAAAAUCAGCAUUCUAGAAUAUAUACAAAAUUCAAACAACAUGAUUGACAAGAUGACUCCGGAAGGAAACCAUUAAAAACUUAUUCUUAUUCAUUAAUAUGCUUAUUACAAAAUUUGAUAAUUAGUUACAAAAUUAAGGUCAUUAGAGAGGUGGUAUGUUUCACAAAACUUAUGACAUUAAAUAACAAUAUUAUUAUUUAAUACUUGAAAUGUAUUUUUAACAUUAGUCACUCAUAUCACUUUCUAAUAUCUCUUAUUAUUUAUAAUUAUUUUAUUUUCUUUAAUUUUAUUUAUAUUCGUGAUGGCCAUCAUCAUUUUAUUCGGAGUGAAUACGUAAUUUUGAAUAGAAUUUCAUAUAGAUAUAGAUCAUUUAUUCACAAUUUACAAAACUACAAUUCCAGUUUCAAUUAAUCAUGUCAUUUCAUUACAAAUUUAUGUACAUACGAGGUUUGUCCGGAAAGUACGUAUAAAAGUUUUUUAAAAAUUUUAUUUUACAAUUAUUCAGGUAAAUCAAUUUUAUCCCCUUCAAAGUACUCCCCCUGUGACAUAAUGCACUUGUGCCAACGCCGUUUCCACUGUGAGAAGGCUCCUUGAAAGUCCUCUGGUUGUAGGUUUCUCAGCUGCCCCGUCGUAGCUUUUUUUAUCUCAUUUAUGUCCCCCAAAUGCCGCCCCCGAAGUACCAAUUUGGUUUUUGGGAACAAGAAGAAGUCACACGGGGCCAAAUCCGGCGAAUAGGGGGGGUGUUCGGUCACCGUAAUGGAAUUUUUACUCAAAAACUCACGGACAACAAGAGAGGUGUGGGCAGGGGCAUUGUCGUGGUGAAGAAUCCAACGCCCCUCUCGCGCCAAUUCUGGACGAACUCGUGCCACACGAGCUUUGAGGCGUCUGAGCACAUCGACGUAGAAUUUUCCAUCAACUGUCUGGCCUGGAGGGACGAAUUCUUGAUGGACAAUCCCCCGAACAUCGAACUCUUUCUCGGCCCUCUCUGAAUCUUUUUAGCCACUUGUGGACGGUUGGUUCCUUCACAGCAUCAUCCCCAUAAACUGUUCUGAGAUCGGCAAAAAUUUCACGGCCAUUCUUGCCGAGUUUCGAGAGAAACUUGAUUACGACGCGCUGCUCUUCAACGGAAGCGGGCUCCAUGCCGACGGGGUUUCGUUAAGAGGUAACUUCACAGAUGGCGUGACAAGCCAGUUCGCACCGCACGGCGGUCAGACCAGAACUGAAGCAUUGUUAGGGACAUAAGGAAGGGGUCCUGCGCUUACCUGGCCUCCCCACUCCUCUUUCUCGCAUUCCAGAACACUUUUAUACGAACUUUCCGGACAGACCUCGUAUCUAUCUAUCUAAUACCUAGUUUUUUUUAAAGGGUGAUAAUGGAAUGGUAACCCCGCCUGCGUUAUCGGUAUACGCUGGCGGGGCACCAGUGAGCGAUGAUAUGUCACGAUGAAAUAAGGUUAGUUAGCCCAUCGUGACGAAUUCCACUAGAAUUAACCACGGUGGUUUCCAGUGGGAACCGUGUGGAGGUUGACCUGAUGGGGUUUAUUGCUAACAAUGGGUCAGUUAGACCCCAUUACUAAAUUAUUAGUAAUGGGGUCUAACUGACCCAAGGGAUUACCCUUUCCCCCCAAUAAUACCUAGUUAAGUAAAAUAUUAUUACUUGCAUAUGUAUAUAUACUAGAAUCGAAUAUAUAUCAAAUUAGUAAUGACGAGGUCUUGCUUAGGGUUAAGGAAAAGAGACAAAUUAUAAGAACUAUUGAGGUCAGAAAGGAAAAUAUAUUA